Molecule: ribosomal RNA, 254 nt
Filed under: uncultured bacterium
Lineage: Bacteria
Description: partial 16S ribosomal RNA
Rfam family: Bacterial small subunit ribosomal RNA
Source: RNAcentral
UACGGAGGAUCCAAGCGUUAUCCGGAAUUACUGGGCGUAAAGAGUUGCGUAGGUGGCAUCGUAAGUCAGUAGUGAAAGAGUGCGGCUCAACCGCAUAGACAUUACUGAAACUGCGGAGCUAGAGGACGAGAGAGGUACCUGGAAUUCCUAGUGUAGGAGUGAAAUCCGUAGAUAUUAGGAGGAACACCGAUGGCGUAGGCAGGGUACUGGCUCGUUCCUGACACUAAGGCACGAAAGCGUGGGGAGCGAACGGG